Molecule: ribosomal RNA, 425 nt
Filed under: uncultured bacterium
Lineage: Bacteria
Description: bacterial SSU rRNA
Rfam family: Bacterial small subunit ribosomal RNA
Source: RNAcentral
UCGAGAAUCUUCGGCAAUGGGCGCAAGCCUGACCGAGCGACGCCGCGUGCGGGAUGAAGGCCUUCGGGUUGUAAACCGCUGUCAGAGGGGAGGAAAUGCAUGUGGGUACUCUCACAUGUUUGACCUAUCCUCAGAGGAAGUACGGGCUAAGUUCGUGCCAGCAGCCGCGGUAAGACGAACCGUACGAACGUUAUUCGGAAUCACUGGGCUUAAAGGGUGCGUAGGCGGCGCAGAAAGUAGGGUGUGAAAUCCCUCGGCUCAACCGAGGAACUGCGCUCUAAACUACUGUGCUCGAGGGAGAUAGAGGUGAGCGGAACUUAGGGUGGAGCGGUGAAAUGCGUUGAUAUCCUAAGGAACACCGGUGGCGAAAGCGGCUCACUGGAUCUCUUCUGACGCUGAGGCACGAAAGCUAGGGUAGCAAACGG